Long non-coding RNA from Stegodyphus dumicola, 363 nucleotides. The record is from RefSeq and is a predicted model, not a curated record. NCBI's taxonomy places the organism in Eukaryota, Metazoa, Arthropoda, Arachnida, Araneae, Eresidae.
GCAGUUUAUAUAUCUUUUGCACUCACUUUACUUUGAUCUGAACGCUAUAUUUCAAACGUUCUUUCUCGAUUAUGCUGAAAUGUUCUUUAUCAGGACAUUAUGUUUUUUGAUCACAGUAGCAGUCAUAAAAGCCAUUCCCUUCCAAUCGUGCAAUAAAAAUUCAGAUUGCGGAGAAAAUUCUGUGUUACUGCUCCAUUCAUGAUGAAGCACUGCGAACCGAUUGUACUUGAAGGUGACUACUGUUUGACAAAAGAUUAUUCAUUCCUUUUUAACGAUGUGUACUUCUUAAGAUGCCCUUGCGCGCGAGGCUUUAAAUGCAUUGGAGGAGAAGGCAGCUUUCCUGGUGGUAAAGACAAUUUUCUA